UGGGGAAUAUUGGACAAUGGGGGCAACCCUGAUCCAGCAAUACCGCGUGUGUGAAGAAGGCCUUAGGGUUGUAAAGCACUUUCAAUAGGGAGGAAAAAGGUAAGCUUAAUACGUUUGCCCUUGACAUUACCUAUACAAGAAGCACCGGCUAACUCCGUGCCAGCAGCCGCGGUAAUACGGAGGGUGCAAGCGUUAAUCGGAAUUACUGGGCGUAAAGCGUGCGUAGGCGGCCUGUUAAGUCAGAUGUGAAAGCCCCGGGCUCAACCUGGGAACUGCAUUUGAAACUGGCAAGCUAGAGUUGGGUANAGGGGAUGGAAUUUCAGGUGUAGCGGUGAAAUGCGUAGAUAUCUGAAGGAACACCAGUGGCGAAGGCGACUCCCUGGACUCAAACUGACGCUGAGGCACGAAAGCGUGGGUAGCAAACAGGAUUAGAUACCCAGGUAGUCCCUGAGCGGGCUGGCAAGGCGCAU
RNAcentral lists this ribosomal RNA (470 nucleotides) under uncultured bacterium. RNAcentral's name for it is "bacterial SSU rRNA". It matches the Rfam family "Bacterial small subunit ribosomal RNA", at positions 355 to 825 of the family's 1533-position model. The record is from RNAcentral.